RNAcentral lists this ribosomal RNA (234 nucleotides) under uncultured bacterium. Its description in RNAcentral is "partial 16S ribosomal RNA". It matches the Rfam family "Bacterial small subunit ribosomal RNA", at positions 104 to 334 of the family's 1533-position model. The record is from RNAcentral.
CGGGGUGGAGGUAACGCGUGGGUAACCGUGCCUGUACAGGGGAGUAACAGUUGGAAACGGCUGCUAAUACCGCAUAAGCGCACGGCAUCGCAUGAUGCAGUGUGAAAAACUCCGGUGGUAUAAGAUGGACCCGCGUCGGAUUAGCUAGUUGGUGAGGUAACGGCCCACCAAGGCGACGAUCCAUAGCCGACCUGAGAGGGUGACCGGCCACAUUGGGACUGAGACACGGCCCAA